UUGGUUGGGAUCGGGGGAAAGAGGAAAGGGAGCUAGGGGUGCUCGGCGACACGGGGAGGGAGAGGGAAGGCACGCACGCGAGCCGGUUCCUGCGGCAGCAGCGGGAGCCAACGAGGAGGUCCUGGAGCGGAGAAAGAGGAGGAGCGGAAGGGUAGCGAGCGCACGUCCAACGGCAGCAGCCUCUUGUCCUGUCACGCCCAGCGAAGGAGGAAAAGGAGGGUAGCCUAGAUUUCGUACGCCAGUGCCUCCGCUCGGAGAGGAUGUCCCCUCUCUUCUACCCUCUCUCCCCCUCUUCCUUCCUCUCCUCCCUCCGGGUCGCCGCUUGAUCUCUCCCGGCCGGUCGCGGCCGGUCCAGUCCACGCUGGACCACCAACCACCGCCGAGCUAGGUGAUGACCUAGGAAAAAGAAGGUGGAGGGGUGACAGAUUGUGGCUCGUGGCCAGUUCCUCGUACCCUAGCUGUUGCCGCCGAUCUUCGGUUCUCCCUCCUACUCCCCUAACUUCUCCCAGAAGAACACAAGUAACGCACUGGUUCCUUCUCCUGCUACUGCGUCCCACCUUGUACAGUAGGGAGACCAAAACCGGAAGGAAAGACGACGACCCGAUUCUACUCCCAAAGGUGACUAACACCACCGUACUCCGUCUCUAGCUAUCGGUCUACGAACACCGACGGUGUGUUUUGCACGAGAGAACGACUGGAACUCCAGGUCGGCGUUACCUGGUAGAGGUUCGAACGAGCUCCUUUUGUACAUUCGGGCUGCACGUGACUACCGCGACGGUCGUCGUAGUUCCUACCUUAGUCGUUCUGUGAGAAAAUCCAGUCUCUUUAACCGCCAGGUUACUAAUUUGGACUUAGAAGCACCGACGAUGUCGGUGGUAGGACAACAUCGAGUAGGUCUGGUGCUGAUAGUUAUCCACUGGUAGAAGUAACUCCUCCGGUCUCCUCUUCUUUUCCCCGACAGUCCAGCCUGAAACCACGCAGAGACUGGUUUAUACCAACCUAGGUAGGCUGCAAGAAGGUUUAUCAUGUCACGUCUAAACGACUGACCAUGUUGUAGAUUUGGAACCGAUGAGAUCGAAUAAAAAUGUAGAGAAUCAUAGUUGUUUAUUGAACCGAUAUAAUAUAUGAACUUCUAACGUCGUCCGUGUUUUACGAACCGACUGGUGGGUCAAUUAACUCAACACGGAUGCUUCCCAGUCAUCUCAUCAACGAAAAAGAUUUUUUCACUCCUAGCCAAACCAACGGUGUACUGCCAUUCCGAUCUUACCACCAUGGCUUUUCACGAAGACAUUACCAGUAUACACAGCACCUCAACCUUGAACCAAGAAAACUUCAACCUCACCGAUCCAACAGAUAUUUAUGUACGACGGGUGAUUUUAGUCUAAAAUCAUAUGACAAAUUUAGUCCCCACCUAGUAACACAACACAAGCUUAAUCUCGAUCUCUCUUCCCUUCUCAACGCUGGUAUGGUAAAUAAAUAUGACGUACCAGGGUGACAGCUAAAAGAAUUUCAUGUAAACGGAAAAGAAUUUCAUGUAAUGGGAGAACAAGAACCUUCUUAUCUAACUACGAGGGAUGGAGUCCAAAUUGUUACGUACAUCCAACCAGUCACAUGAUUAAAACUGCGAAGAACUAGUCACAAAGCCUUCAGUACCCGAAAACACAUAAACAUGUUCGAAGGAAGCAGAAAUGAUAAAAGAUAGAAAUCACAAAAAAUACAAGGAAACAUUGAUAGGUUACAAGACGGAACCCACCGGAGACAGAACCAAAUGUCGAGGUAUACCGAUCGAUACAUAUGCAUACAUCCAAAACAAACCUGACAUGAGUUAGCGUAUCUACAAAGGUAUAAGUACGUAAGGAGAAAAAUGAACACUAACAAUCUAUCAACUUAUAGUAACCAAAUACAGCCGUAAGACAAAAACGUUAAACUUUAUCCAAAACCAGGUUACUAUAAUUUGAAGUGUUAUCCAUCACCGUAGAAGUCCUUUUUCAUCACCGUCUAUGCUACCUGUGAAGAAAAGGCCACGUCUUUACUACGAUAACUGAACUCAGGAGUUGUGUAUAAAAAGUCAUUGCCUCUCCUAAUAAGUGGAAACGGCGAUGUCCGCAAUUCUGGACCGCCUCGGUCCGGUAGUUCGUGAUAAUCACAAGUUGUGAACCGGGACUACUCGUACUGUUGGACACGAUGGCAGGCUUGUAAUCGAUAAGAAGAAAACCGGACCUUACUCUGGUCAUCCCCGUGGAACUCGCUCAUGAGUUCCUUACGUCAGUUCAGUACUACGGCCAAGGGAAAGCGAUCUAGAAUGUAUAAAUUAAUACACUCAAGCUUUCGGUUUUGACUAACUCUAGAAGACAAGAAUGAACGUCUACAAUACAAUAAGUCUCAUGAAGCCAAAGGUCAGAGAUAUAUAAUAGUUUAAUACCCAGUAAAACUUGGAAUAUCCGAAAAUAAUAUACAAAUCAAUACGAAGGUACCCAAAACGUAUACAUAAUUGUUUUCUUGGUCUGAUGAUAAAACAAAUAAGAACUUAGCUUCCUGCAUGUCAAUUAAACGAGAAUGCUUUCCUGACUCAUCCGUCGAUCGACUUACUCUCCUGUUAGUACUGUUCGUUUGGUUGUGUAUUUAUCAUUUGGGUGUUAAAAAUGUAGACGUAGGGCCACUUGAAAACCAUACCUAUACGUAAAAAUAGGAACCCUCAUGAAACCUAAAAUUCACCCUUAGUAUCAAUAAAAGAAGAAUUGAAACCAUACUGUUCGUUACGUCCACUAUAAGGAUUACCAACAACGACUACGACUUUUUGAUGAGGACUUCGUGAGCUUCACGGGAGAGAUACCAAGUAGUGAGUGACCUAGGUCUACCCGUUGGAAGGCGAAGUUUUAAUUUUCUCGUAUCAAAAACGGACGAUAGUAACGAAUGCUUCUCAUUAGAUGGUACAGGGAUAUAUAUAUGUAUUAACAACGUGGUAGUGUUCUAAAGGUACUAUACGUACCCGUAUUGAAAGAAAUGACUCCUUUCCGUCCGACAGUAAAGAAUUCCAACUUUAAAAGACAAAAUAUCUUACCGUUGAUAGACAAGGAAUAGACCGUACACAUAAACGAAACAGGAGAUGAAGACUAUUCCGUUCUGUCUAGUUUGGUUGUAUCAUUAGGAGAUUAGGAAGUAAUAUAAGACUUUUUUGUGAUACUAAAAGGCACAGUCCUAUCAUGAUACAGUUUGACUACGAAACAUAAUGUACAAGACCACAUAUGGGACCGUUAUAAUCCGUAAACGAAACAAACAAGUGUGGCGUAAUCAAAAAAAUCAAUAUCGACCAAAAUAAAGGCUAAGUUUGGGUAGGUAAACAGGACAAAAGUAAACAAAGAAUAUUUAAGAAAGACUAUUCUACAACAGAAAGUCAAAAUAUAAACAAGAGAAUUAAAGUAAACAAAGAAUACGUUCCCAAGAGUUUUUAAUGAAAACAUCCGUUCUGUUUUGAUUUUUCCACUAGACCCUGUUCACCUUCCUCCCUUCGGCAACAUUCUAGCUAUUAUUGAACGGCUGUUCUAGUACAAGCAAAUCUGGAAAGGAAUGAUUUUCAAUAAAUAGACAGCGUUCACAAAGACAACCUUGAUAGUUUAAGUUUGAGGAUCUACAGAUACAGUCCUACAUAUUGAAACAGGUCCAUCUCUAUAGGGGUGACUAGAAAAGCACU
Molecule: ribosomal RNA, 3691 nt
Filed under: Triticum aestivum (bread wheat)
Lineage: Eukaryota; Viridiplantae; Streptophyta; Magnoliopsida; Poales; Poaceae
Description: partial small subunit ribosomal RNA
Source: RNAcentral